GAGACAGGUGCUGCAUGGCUGUCGUCAGCUCGUGUUGUGAAAUGUUGGGUUAAGUCCCGCAACGAGCGCAACCCUUAUCCUUUGUUGCCAGCGGUUCGGCCGGGAACUCAAAGGAAACUGCCGGUGAUAAACUGGAGGAAGGGGGGGAUGACGUCAAGUCAUCAUGGCCCUUACGAGCAGGGCUACACACGUGCUACAAUGGCGCAUACAAAGAGAAGCAACCUCGCGAGAGCAAGCGGACCUCAUAAAGUGCGUCGUAGUCCGGAUUGGAGUCUGCAACUCGACUCCAUGAAGUCGGAAUCGCUAGUAAUCGUGAAUCAGAAUGCCACGGUGAAUACGUUCCCGGGUCU
RNAcentral lists this ribosomal RNA (350 nucleotides) under uncultured Gammaproteobacteria bacterium. RNAcentral describes it as "bacterial SSU rRNA". It matches the Rfam family "Bacterial small subunit ribosomal RNA", at positions 1031 to 1381 of the family's 1533-position model. Lineage: Bacteria; Pseudomonadati; Pseudomonadota; Gammaproteobacteria. The record is from RNAcentral.